GACGAACGCUGGCGGCGUGCUUAACACAUGCAAGUCGAACGGAAAGGCCUGCUUUCCCUUGUGGAUUGCGGGUACUCGAGUGGCGAACGGGUGAGUAACACGUGAGUGAUCUGCCCCCAACUUGGGUAUAAGCCUGGGAAACUGGGUCUAAUUUCCGAUAGGACUGCAGGGUGGUGCCUGUGGUGGAAAACGAUUUUCUAGUGGUUGGGGAUGAGCUUGCGGCCUAUCAGCUUGUUGGUGGGGUAAUGGCCUACCAAGGCGGAGACGGGUAGCCAGCCUGAGAGGGUGGAGGGGCAAAUUGGGACUGAGCUACGACAAAGACUCCUACGGGAGGCAGCAGUGGGGAAUAUUGCACAAUGGGCGGAAGCCUGAUGCAGCGACGCGGGGUGGGGGAUGACGGCCUUCGGGUUGUAAACUCCUUUCGACCGCGAGGAAGCCACCUGGUUGGAAGGGUGGUGACGGUAGUGGUAGAAGAAGCACCGGCUAACUACGUG
RNAcentral lists this ribosomal RNA (494 nucleotides) under uncultured bacterium. RNAcentral describes it as "partial 16S ribosomal RNA". It matches the Rfam family "Bacterial small subunit ribosomal RNA", at positions 28 to 507 of the family's 1533-position model. The record is from RNAcentral.